UUAAGCGACUAAGCGUACACGGUGGAUGCCCUGGCAGUCAGAGGCGAUGAAGGGCGUGCUAAUCUGCGAUAAGCGCCGGUAAGGUGAUAUGAACCGUUAUAACCGGCGAUACCCGAAUGGGGAAACCCAGUGUGACUCGUCACACUAUCAUUAACUGAAUCCAUAGGUUAAUGAGGCGAACCGGGGGAACUGAAACAUCUAAGUACCCCGAGGAAAAGAAAUCAACCGAGAUUCCCCCAGUAGCGGCGAGCGAACGGGGAGGAGCCCAGAGCCUGAAUCAGCAUGUGUGUUAGUGGAAGCGUCUGGAAAGGCGCGCGAUACAGGGUGACAGCCCCGUACACAAAAGCGCAUGUGCUGUGAGCUCGAUGAGUAGGGCGGGACACGUGGUAUCCUGUCUGAAUAUGGGGGGACCAUCCUCCAAGGCUAAAUACUCCUGACUGACCGAUAGUGAACCAGUACCGUGAGGGAAAGGCGAAAAGAACCCCGGCGAGGGGAGUGAAAAAGAACCUGAAACCGUGUACGUACAAGCAGUGGGAGCACCCUUUGGGGUGUGACUGCGUACCUUUUGUAUAAUGGGUCAGCGACUUAUAUUCUGUAGCAAGGUUAACCGUAUAGGGGAGCCGUAGGGAAACCGAGUCUUAACCGGGCGUUAAGUUGCAGGGUAUAGACCCGAAACCCGGUGAUCUAGCCAUGGGCAGGUUGAAGGUUGGGUAACACUAACUGGAGGACCGAACCGACUAAUGUUGAAAAAUUAGCGGAUGACCUGUGGCUGGGGGUGAAAGGCCAAUCAAACCGGGAGAUAGCUGGUUCUCCCCGAAAGCUAUUUAGGUAGCGCCUCGUGAAUUCAUCUCCGGGGGUAGAGCACUGUUUCGGCUAGGGGGCCAUCCCGGCUUACCAACCCGAUGCAAACUGCGAAUACCGGAGAAUGUUAUCACGGGAGACACACGGCGGGUGCUAACGUCCGUCGUGAAGAGGGAAACAACCCAGACCGCCAGCUAAGGUCCCAAAGUCAUGGUUAAGUGGGAAACGAUGUGGGAAGGCCCAGACAGCCAGGAUGUUGGCUUAGAAGCAGCCAUCAUUUAAAGAAAGCGUAAUAGCUCACUGGUCGAGUCGGCCUGCGCGGAAGAUGUAACGGGGCUAAACCAUGCACCGAAGCUGCGGCAGCGACACUGUGUGUUGUUGGGUAGGGGAGCGUUCUGUAAGCCUGUGAAGGUGUGUCGUGAGGCAUGCUGGAGGUAUCAGAAGUGCGAAUGCUGACAUAAGUAACGAUAAAGCGGGUGAAAAGCCCGCUCGCCGGAAGACCAAGGGUUCCUGUCCAACGUUAAUCGGGGCAGGGUGAGUCGACCCCUAAGGCGAGGCCGAAAGGCGUAGUCGAUGGGAAACGGGUUAAUAUUCCCGUACUUGGUGUUACUGCGAAGGGGGGACGGAGAAGGCUAUGUUGGCCGGGCGACGGUUGUCCCGGUUUAAGCGUGUAGGUGUGUGUUCCAGGUAAAUCCGGUUCACUUUAACACUGAGGCGUGACGACGAGGCACUACGGUGCUGAAGCAACAAAUGCCCUGCUUCCAGGAAAAGCCUCUAAGCAUCAGGUAACAUCAAAUCGUACCCCAAACCGACACAGGUGGUCAGGUAGAGAAUACCAAGGCGCUUGAGAGAACUCGGGUGAAGGAACUAGGCAAAAUGGUGCCGUAACUUCGGGAGAAGGCACGCUGACACGUAGGUGAAGUGAUUUACUCAUGGAGCUGAAGUCAGUCGAAGAUACCAGCUGGCUGCAACUGUUUAUUAAAAACACAGCACUGUGCAAACACGAAAGUGGACGUAUACGGUGUGACGCCUGCCCGGUGCCGGAAGGUUAAUUGAUGGGGUCAGCGCAAGCGAAGCUCCUGAUCGAAGCCCCGGUAAACGGCGGCCGUAACUAUAACGGUCCUAAGGUAGCGAAAUUCCUUGUCGGGUAAGUUCCGACCUGCACGAAUGGCGUAAUGAUGGCCAGGCUGUCUCCACCCGAGACUCAGUGAAAUUGAACUCGCUGUGAAGAUGCAGUGUACCCGCGGCAAGACGGAAAGACCCCGUGAACCUUUACUAUAGCUUGACACUGAACAUUGAGCCUUGAUGUGUAGGAUAGGUGGGAGGCUUUGAAGCGUGGACGCCAGUCUGCGUGGAGCCGACCUUGAAAUACCACCCUUUAAUGUUUGAUGUUCUAACGUGGACCCGUAAUCCGGGUUGCGGACAGUGUCUGGUGGGUAGUUUGACUGGGGCGGUCUCCUCCUAAAGAGUAACGGAGGAGCACGAAGGUUGGCUAAUCCUGGUCGGACAUCAGGAGGUUAGUGCAAUGGCAUAAGCCAGCUUGACUGCGAGCGUGACGGCGCGAGCAGGUGCGAAAGCAGGUCAUAGUGAUCCGGUGGUUCUGAAUGGAAGGGCCAUCGCUCAACGGAUAAAAGGUACUCCGGGGAUAACAGGCUGAUACCGCCCAAGAGUUCAUAUCGACGGCGGUGUUUGGCACCUCGAUGUCGGCUCAUCACAUCCUGGGGCUGAAGUAGGUCCCAAGGGUAUGGCUGUUCGCCAUUUAAAGUGGUACGCGAGCUGGGUUUAGAACGUCGUGAGACAGUUCGGUCCCUAUCUGCCGUGGGCGCUGGAGAACUGAGGGGGGCUGCUCCUAGUACGAGAGGACCGGAGUGGACGCAUCACUGGUGUUCGGGUUGUCAUGCCAAUGGCACUGCCCGGUAGCUAAAUGCGGAAGAGAUAAGUGCUGAAAGCAUCUAAGCACGAAACUUGCCCCGAGAUGAGUUCUCCCUGAGACUUAGAGUCUCCUGAAGGAACGUUGAAGACGACGACGUUGAUAGGCCGGGUGUGUAAGCGCAGCGAUGCGUUGAGCUAACCGGUACUAAUGAACCGUGAGGCUUAACCUU
Molecule: ribosomal RNA, 2903 nt
Filed under: Salmonella enterica
Lineage: Bacteria; Pseudomonadati; Pseudomonadota; Gammaproteobacteria; Enterobacterales; Enterobacteriaceae
Description: bacterial LSU rRNA
Rfam family: Bacterial large subunit ribosomal RNA
Source: RNAcentral